Small nucleolar RNA from Callithrix jacchus (white-tufted-ear marmoset), 77 nucleotides. The record is from Ensembl. NCBI's taxonomy places the organism in Eukaryota, Metazoa, Chordata, Mammalia, Primates, Cebidae.
UGGACCAUCGAAUGACAACUGGUGGCUUAUGUGGUCGUAUAUGAAGAACAGUAUGUAUCGGCAACUUUGAGGUCCAA